RNAcentral lists this long non-coding RNA (340 nucleotides) under Androctonus crassicauda. Lineage: Eukaryota; Metazoa; Arthropoda; Arachnida; Scorpiones; Buthidae. The record is from RNAcentral.
GACCAAUCCAUCGUCUGUACCAGAGAUGAUAAGUCUAAGAAGAUGGCAUUUAUAAAGAGGGAACAUUAUGUGGACCUCUUACUUGAACUUCAUAGCUCAGUUGGACUCCGAACACUUGAUGUCUGACCCUACAGACAGAUUGGUAGAUACGGUCUCCAGGAUUGUUCAAUCUAUGGAUUUCCCGCAGGUAUGGAAGAUGAAGAAGGUAAGAUGCCAUACACGCCAAGACUGUUUGGUUACGUUAAAGCACACAAGAUGCCUGUCUCUAUCAGGCCCCUAUGGUUGAUAAGAAGUCCUCCCCAUUAUACAGAUUAGAAAAGGCCAUUGCCACAUGGGCCCU